AAAACCCUGUUCACUUGGCCAAAUGGAUUUACGUCUUUAUUGCUCAUUAAUUGGGGCAAAGGAAGUAUCAUUUUAAAACUCAAGCAAAUUGAGUGUCUUGUAUCCUGUCAGAGGAAAGAAAU
Aotus nancymaae (Ma's night monkey) is the source of this 122-nucleotide small nucleolar RNA. The record is from Ensembl. Lineage: Eukaryota; Metazoa; Chordata; Mammalia; Primates; Aotidae.